This 462-nucleotide ribosomal RNA is filed under the name uncultured bacterium. RNAcentral describes it as "partial 16S ribosomal RNA". It matches the Rfam family "Bacterial small subunit ribosomal RNA", at positions 28 to 507 of the family's 1533-position model. The record is from RNAcentral.
GACGAACGCUGGCGGCGUGCUUAACACUUGCAAGUCGAGCGGAAAGGCCCUUCGGGGUACUCGAGCGGCGAACGGGUGAGUAACACGUGAGUAACCUGCCCCAGACUUUGGGAUAACCCUCGGAAACGGGGGCUAAUACCGGAUACGACACAGCUUCGCAUGGGGUCUGUGUGGAAAGUUUUUCGGUUUGGGAUGGGCUCGCGGCCUAUCAGCUUGUUGGUGGGGUGAUGGCCUACCAAGGCGACGACGGGUAGCCGGCCUGAGAGGGCGACCGGCCACACUGGGACUGAGACACGGCCCAGACUCCUACGGGAGGCAGCAGUGGGGAAUAUUGCACAAUGGGCGGAAGCCUGAUGCAGCGACGCCGCGUGAGGGAUGACGGCCUUCGGGUUGUAAACCUCUUUCAGCAGGGACGAAGCGUAAGUGACGGUACCUGCAGAAGAAGCCCCGGCCAACUACGUG